GAACGACCCGUGAAUCGGUUAAAAAUUAUUCGGGAGAGACGCGCGCCCUCGGGCCUAUCUCCCAGAGCCCUCGGCCAAGGUCGCGUGGUUGAAAUCCACGUCCUUUGCCCGAGGGCGAAAACUAACAAAACCCCGGCGCGAGUCGCGCCAAGGAAAACAAACAAAGAAAGAUGCGCUCCCCUCGUCCCGAAAGGGUGCGUCGGGAAUCGCGUCGUCGUUAUCACCUUCCAAACGACUCUCGGCAACGGAUAUCUCGGCUCUCGCAUCGAUGAAGAACGUAGCGAAAUGCGAUACUUGGUGUGAAUUGCAGAAUCCCGUGAACCAUCGAGUUUUUGAACGCAAGUUGCGCCCGAAGCCGUCUGGCCGAGGGCACGCCUGCCUGGGUGUCACGAAAAGUCGUCGAAUGCCCCUCCCUCGCCCCUUACGAGCGGGCGCAGCGAGGGACGACGGAUGUUGGCCUCCCGUGGCCUCGCGCGCGCGGUUGGCCCAAAAGUUAGGCAUGCCGACACGGCGGCCGCGACACACGGUGGUUGAAAGCGCAAGCUCCCCUCGAACACCGUCGUGGGCCAGCACCGUUGACGGGGAGCCGAAGGCCCCGACGCGCAGCGUCAUCG
RNAcentral lists this ribosomal RNA (614 nucleotides) under Loeseneriella barbata. Its description in RNAcentral is "eukaryotic LSU rRNA". The stretch from base 234 to 389 matches the Rfam family "5.8S ribosomal RNA". Lineage: Eukaryota; Viridiplantae; Streptophyta; Magnoliopsida; Celastrales; Celastraceae. The record is from RNAcentral.